CCCACACCCAUGUGUGUAGGACCCUAAAGGAUCACCAUGAAAUUUGGCACAAAUCUCUAGAAAAAUUAUUAUAUAAGUAUAGGAUUUGAUUUUUCUAGAGAUUUGUGCUAAAUUUAAUGGUGAUCAUUUGAGGUCUUACAUACAUAGGUGUGGG
This 154-nucleotide microRNA precursor is filed under the name Amborella trichopoda. Its description in RNAcentral is "MIR8565 microRNA precursor family". It matches the Rfam family "MIR8565 microRNA precursor family". Lineage: Eukaryota; Viridiplantae; Streptophyta; Magnoliopsida; Amborellales; Amborellaceae. The record is from Rfam by way of RNAcentral.